RNAcentral lists this ribosomal RNA (234 nucleotides) under uncultured bacterium. RNAcentral's name for it is "partial 16S ribosomal RNA". It matches the Rfam family "Bacterial small subunit ribosomal RNA", at positions 118 to 351 of the family's 1533-position model. The record is from RNAcentral.
UGAGCAACCUACCGAAAUGUGGGGGAUAGCCGGCCCAACGGCCGGGUAAUACCGCAUACGCUCGAGACCAGGCAUUUGGACUCGAGGAAAUUUACGGAGCAUUUCGAGGGCUCGCGGCCUAUCAGCUAGUUGGUGAGGUAACGGCUCACCAAGGCGACGACGGAUAGCUGGUCUGAGAGGAUGGCCAGCCACAUUGGGACUGAGAUACGGCCCAGACCUCCGUACGGGGAGNAG